This 28-nucleotide non-coding RNA is filed under the name Cricetulus griseus (Chinese hamster). The record is from RNAcentral. Lineage: Eukaryota; Metazoa; Chordata; Mammalia; Rodentia; Cricetidae.
AAGAUGCUCUGCAGAUCUCUGAUGUGGU